UGGGUAUUGCUCGCCAGCGUCAAGCCAUUGUAGAUGGUUUGAGAGACAGUGUGAUUGGAUUUUCGGUUAAUGUACCAGGGACAACUGCAAAAGAUGUCAUGGAUAUGGUCCUUGUCACUCAAUACUUUGACACUAUGAAAGAAAUUGGUGCUGCCUCCAAGUCUUCUGCUGUAUUCAUCCCACAUGGACCUGGUGCUGUUCGUGAUGUCGCUAGCCAAAUUCGUGAUGGACUUCUCCAGGGUUCUCAUUCUCAUCAGUAGCUUCUAUUCCUCCUACAUCAUAUCUAAUUUAUAUGGAGUGUGGUGCUUUUUUAAUGCUUUUGGUUGUAAUCUUUUUCUUUUUCUUUUUUUAUGGUGAAAAGGGGCAUAACCCUUACUUUUGGUUGUAAUCUGUAUAUGUGGGAUACAAAUUCAAUGCUGUAGCAUAACCACACAGUUUGACGCUGUAAGCAAUCAUGUCCGUUGAUUGGAAAUUGGACGGCCCGGAUCAGUUACAGCGUCUUGUUGUUACUGUGGGAAAUCCGAUUCCGUAUCUGUGUGUAUAUUAUAUAUAUCUUUUUUUUUAAGCAAUUAUAUAUAUCUUUUUGUAUCAUAUGUUUUUGUAUCAGGUUAAAGCUGCACUUGUCACCAAAAAAAAGAUUAAAGCUGCACUCAUCUAUCUUACCAAAAUGUAAACCACUCACCCUUUCAAAUUCAUCCAUGUAACAAAAAUAGUGAUUUUGAUCUAAAAUAAUUUAGAGAUUAGAGAUUAGUUUUUAGAGAUUUUUAGAAAAGUUGAAUUUACUUUGUGUUUGUUUAUUAUAAUAAAAAUCACUUUUUUUUUUAAAUAAAAAUAAUCUUUAGUUUGUUUGGAUACAACUUAUAAAAGUGGUUUUUUUAACAUUUUUUUUUUCUCCUCUAAAAAAAAUAUUAUUUUAUAAGCUACUCUAAUAGCUUCUCAUUUUUAGCUGUUUUCGGAUUAUUUUUAGCUUCUGAUUAUUUUAAAAAUUUGUAACAAACAGAUGCAAAACAAUUAAAAGUGAUUAUUUUUAUAAAAAAAAUGAUUUUUUUUUUUAAAAUAAGCUAUAACAAAAUGGCCUCUAAAGUCCCUCAAAAUGUUAUAAUACAAUAAUAAUUAUAAUUUAUUGUAUUAACCAUACACGAGAUAAAUAUUAUCACUGGUGUACAAAAAUAAAAAAGUACUUUUAUUAGAAAUUGAUGGAGACACGUACUCCCUCCGUCCCAAAUUAUAAGGAAAAAUUGGUCAAAGAAAGUUGAUGUAUUUGAUUAAAAAUUUGGACCAAAUAUAUUAACUUUACUUGACCAAUUUCCCCUUAUAUUUUGGGACAUAGGAGUACAUAAUAUCAUUUAGAAGCUAGAAUAAUAAAUUAAAAUAAAUUAGGUUAUGCUAGUACAUUAAAAUUGUACUCCAUCCGACCAACCUUAAUUUUAAGCAAAUUUUCAUUUUUAAGAUUCAUUUGAUAACCAAUGUAUUUGGUCUAUAAUUAAGGUCAUAGUUAUUUAUGAAAUUUGUUUACAAUGAGCACAAGAGGGAGUAUAUCUAUAAUACAAAUUAACAUAAUUAUUACCUGAUGACUCAGUUGUGAGGCAAAUCCAUAUUGAAGUGAACGUAGAAAAUGAAAGAUUUAAAAGUUUAGAAGGGUAGAAUUGACAUUUUCUUAUGUUUGCUAAAGGUAGAAGGCUAAACGUAGCCGUGGGAAGGAGUGUGACUGAGAUGAAAUAUCCUUGUUGAGGAAGUUAUCUAUCUUUCUACAUUUGAUGGGGGUAAUCCACACUCUUAUCCACCGUAAUCCAUCCUUUUUAGGUAAAACGACAAUCACCGAGCUUAUUUUAAGUCGUUUUCUCUUGACCCACUCACUUAUAAUAUUCUCUAUAACAACACACUUCUAAGUAACCACAAUUCAUUGAGCAAAACAGAACAACAACAAACAGGUAAGAAUCAUCUUUUCAACAAUACAUUUUCUUUAUUGAUGUUUGUUGAUGUUUGUUGAUAUAUUUAAUUGCAGCUAAAAGCAAAUGGGGAAUCUUUCGUGUUGUAUGCAAGUUCCACAAUCUCAAGUGGCUAUGAAAGAAGGUUUUGGAAAAUUUGAAAAGGUGCUUCAGCCAGGAUGUCAUUGCAUGCCAUGGUUCCUUGGGAAACGAGUUGCUGGUCAUCUCUCUCUUCGGCUACAACAAUUGGAUAUCAAAUGUGAGACCAAAACAAAGGUUUGUUACUGUCUCCAACUUCAAUCAAACCAAACCUUCAUGUCAUUCCAUGCUUAUCAAACUUCUCUCAUAUUUUUGCCAUUGAAUUAAUGUUGAUUGGUUUUAAUAAUGAUUUGCUUACAGGAUAAUGUCUUUGUCAACGUUGUUGCUUCUAUUCAAUACCGUGCCUUGGCAGAAAAGGCCGAUGAUGCUUUUUACAAACUUAGCAACACAAAGAACCAAAUCAAAGCUUAUGUUUUUGAUGGUAUAAACCACAACCCUGCUUAGAAGUACAUAAACAUGCAAUAAACCAUAGCCCUGCUUAUGUUUUUUAUGGUAAAUUAUCAGCUAAUGUAAAAUUUCUAUUCUCAUUGCAGUAAUUAGGGCAAGUGUUCCAAAACUCAACUUGGAUGAUGCUUUUGAGCAGAAAAAUGAAAUCGCAAAAGCUGUGGAAGAAGAGCUCGAGAAGGUAUAUAUUUUUUGUUACAAAUAGUAUUUUAUUGAUAAGGUGAAAUGUAGAUUUAUGUAACCUUGAAUGGUCUCAACAGGCUAUUUCAGCAUAUGGAUAUGAAAUUGUUCAAACACUGAUUGUUGAUAUAGUACCAGAUGAGCAUGUGAAGCGGGCUAUGAAUGAAAUCAAUGCUGGUAAUUUUUUUUUAAACUAUGAGAUGUCGCCACAAAAUUGUUAUUAUAUGAAUUAAUGCUUAUAUGUUCAGUUACUUUUUUAAUUUACUUUAUUCUCCAAAAGAUGUCAAUAAAUUUUUAAGAAUGCUUGCCAUUUUCCUCACAGUAGGUCACACAUGUAUGGAAAACUAUGUAGGCUACUUGUAUAUACAAGCUCUUAUUAUUAAGUAUUUGGUCCUAAAUCUUAUGUGUUGCAAAAAUCACUUUAGCGGUACCGGCCUUUGGUUUGUUUUUCUUCUUUGGGUUCCAAUAGACAGUCAUGCUAUGAUUUGGAUCACAUUAUCUUCAUUAUAUCAGCUCAACCUUGUAUGAUUUAUGAAUUAACUAGAUAUCGUUCGAAGUGUAACUUUUGUCUAAUGAUUAGGUUAUAGUAUACCAUGUGUCUCUACCGAAUGCUAUGCUUAGUUCUUCGAUUACCAUAUUUUCUUAUACUGUUUCAUGUCUUUGAUCAGCUGCAAGAUUGAGGGUGGCUGCUAAUGAGAAGGCAGAGGCUGAGAAGAUAUUGCAAAUUAAGCGAGCUGAGGGUGAGGCUGAGUCUAAAUAUCUCUCUGGUCUGGGUAUUGCUCGCCAGCGUCAAGCCAUUGUAGAGGGUUUGAGAGACAGUGUGAUUGGAUUUUCAGUUAAUGUACCAGGGACUACUGCAAAAGAUGUCAUGGAUAUGGUCCUUGUCACUCAAUACUUUGACACUAUGAAAGAAAUUGGUGCUGCCUCUAAGUCUUCUGCUGUGUUCAUCCCACAUGGACCUGGUGCUGUUCGUGAUGUCGCUAGCCAAAUUCGUGAUGGACUUCUCCAGGGUUCUGUAUCUCAUGAGUAGCUUAUAUUCCUCGUACUUCGUAUCGUAUUAGUAUGGGAGUGUGGUGAUUUUAUAAUACUUUAUGUCUCUG
This 3751-nucleotide long non-coding RNA is filed under the name Trifolium pratense (red clover). Its description in RNAcentral is "long non-coding RNA (TPRA_LNC002702)". Lineage: Eukaryota; Viridiplantae; Streptophyta; Magnoliopsida; Fabales; Fabaceae. The record is from RNAcentral.